GACGUAGGGCGCGAGCGUUGUCCGGAUUUAUUGGGCGUAAAGAGCUCGUAGGCGGCUUGUUGCGUCGGCUGUGAAAACCCGUGGCUUAACUGCGGGCUUGCAGCUGAUACGGGCGGGCUAGAGUUCGGUAGGGGAGACUGGAAUUUCUGGUGUAGCGGUGAAAUGCGCAGAUAUCAGGAGGAACACCGGUGGCGAAGGCGGGUCUCUGGACAGCUCCUGACGCUGAGGCGCGAAGGCUAGGGGAGCAAACGGG
Molecule: ribosomal RNA, 253 nt
Filed under: uncultured bacterium
Lineage: Bacteria
Description: partial 16S ribosomal RNA
Rfam family: Bacterial small subunit ribosomal RNA
Source: RNAcentral